UUGUUAUAAGAUAUUUUAAUCAUUCACAUGACAGCAGUUAAAUAAGGAAUGGUCCAAGUGCCAGAAACCCCCACCCCAAAUGUUUAGCAACAUAACUGCUAAGGAAUUAGAGAUGUUCGUAAGAAGCAGCUUUUCUUCGCUAUUAUGUUCAAACCCAAGAUCUUACAAUGAAAAAAUGUAAGGAAAAGACUGCUAUUCAGAUGCUCUUCAAAAUCUGUGUGCCAAGUCCCCGCAGAUUUAUAAUGUCAGGAUAGCCAAAUAUUUUCCAUGGCAGAAGCUCAACAGCAUGUGCUGGGAGCCCAGAGGCUGCAUGACUGCAAUGAGAAGUGCUCAGCAGCCCAUACAUGUGUCUCUGGGUCUGCUCAUGGUGCAAAACCUUCUGCUUGUUCUUCUGCUUGCCCACACGAAGGGGAGUGGGCCCAGCCUGGAGGUGCAAUAGCUCUGAAUCAUGAACUUGCAUAGUGGGAAAGAUAUAUGGGGAGGUCAUCUGGGACUACCUGUUUCUCAGACACGUUCCUGUUAGAUCAGGUUGCUCAGGGUUAUGACCAUUUCAGUUUUGACUCAGUUCCCUCAACCUCUCCUGUCAUGCCAAGUGCUCCACCUUGAUGGCCCUCCUUUGAAUUUGCUCUGCUGUGCCCACAUCUGUUCUUCACUGGGGAAACAAAACAGGACACUACUCUCACAAGUGAACCACAGACGAAUAGUUACCCAGCAUCUCAAACCCCAUUUCUUUCUCCUCCCACCCAGAUGCAACAACUCACAAAUCUGAGGACUCAGCUCCGUUACCUACACAUAGGAGCAUUGCACUCUUAAAAGAUCGCUAUUCCCAGACCUUCAUGUGUCUGAGAUACCUGCCAGCAUUGUGCACACAUGAUACACAGCAAGGUGAUGCUCAGGAAGCCUCUCUGGAGUGGCAGCUGGUAAUUGACUCAAAGGUGUUUCAAAUGACACUAACGUCAGUGCCUGAUUGUAGAGAACCUCUGUAGGAGAUGCUCAGAUGCUGGAUGCCAGGAACUGCCCUAACAAUUUUACCUGUCUCUUUCAAGGCAAAGGUGAUGGCC
This 1061-nucleotide long non-coding RNA is filed under the name Strigops habroptila (Kakapo). Its description in RNAcentral is "lncRNA (ENSSHBG00005009305.1)". Lineage: Eukaryota; Metazoa; Chordata; Aves; Psittaciformes; Psittacidae. The record is from RNAcentral.